GCUGCUGCUCCAGUUUCAACUGUUCUGCCUUAUUAUUAUUCGACCAUGCUGGUCAUUUAUGAACAUUUGAACAUCUUGGCCAUGUUCUGUUAUAAUCUCCACCCGGCACAGCCAGAAGAGGACUGGCCACCCCACAUAGCCUGGUUCCUCUCUAGGUUUCUUGCUAGGUUUUGGCCUUUCUAGGGAGUUUUUCCAAGCCACCGUGCUUCUACACCUGCAUUAGCUUGCUGUUUGGGGUUUUAGGCUGGGUUUCUGUACAGCA
Long non-coding RNA from Oncorhynchus tshawytscha (Chinook salmon), 262 nucleotides. NCBI's taxonomy places the organism in Eukaryota, Metazoa, Chordata, Actinopteri, Salmoniformes, Salmonidae. The record is from Ensembl.